RNAcentral lists this ribosomal RNA (1000 nucleotides) under Paramesotriton fuzhongensis (Wanggao warty newt). RNAcentral's name for it is "partial 16S ribosomal RNA". The stretch from base 157 to 1000 matches the Rfam family "Bacterial large subunit ribosomal RNA", at positions 573 to 2037 of the family's 2925-position model. Lineage: Eukaryota; Metazoa; Chordata; Amphibia; Caudata; Salamandridae. The record is from RNAcentral.
CUAAAAUUCUAGCCAGUUAACCCUAACUACCAAAAAACAAAACAAACCAUUUAAUCUAAUAGUAUGGGCGAUAGAAAUUUAUUAUGCGCAAUAAAAAAGUACCGCAGGGGAAAGAUGAAAUAAAAAUGAAAUAAAUAAUAAAACAAAGAAAAGAAAAGACUAAACCCUAUACCUUUUGCAUAAUGGUCUAGUAAGUCCAACCUAACAAAAAGAAAUAAAGUUAGCCACCCCGAAACUAGACGAGCUACUCAAAAGCAGCAUUAACCAGGGCCAACCCGUCUCUGUGGCAAAAGAGUGGGACGACUUUUAAGUAGAGGUGAAAAGCCUAACGAGCCUAGUGAUAGCUGGUUGCUUGAGAAAUGAAUAUUAGUUCAGCUUAAAGUACUUUCAACUAAUGAAAAAAAUAAAAAUAGCACUUUAAAGUUAAUUAAUAGGGGUACAGCCCUAUUAAUAAAGGACACAACCUACAUAAUGAAUAAAGAUUAUAUUAACAAAAGAAACUAACCAUGUAGGCCUAAAAGCAGCCACCAUAAGAAAGCGUCAAAGCUCAACUUAACUAAUCCCCUUAUUAUACCAAUAAAAAAAUCUAAAUUCACAAAUAUAUCAAGCCUAUCUACUAGUAGAUGAGUUUAUACUAGAAUGAGUAACAAGAACAAAUUCUAUACAUGCAAGCGUAAAUCAGGGCGAAAAAAUCACUGAUAAUUAACAAUUUUAAAUACUAAACAACAAGAAAGGCACAUUAAAGUAAUUGUUAACCCAACACAGGAGCAUCAAAAAAGAUUUAAAGAUUAAAAAGGAACUCGGCAACCAAGAGCUCCGCCUGUUUACCAAAAACAUCGCCUCUUGCCCUCCAAGUAUAAGAGGUCCCGCCUGCCCAGUGAUUAAUUUUAACGGCCGCGGUAUCAUGACCGUGCAAAGGUAGCGUAAUCACUUGUCUUUUAAAUAAAGACCUGUAUGAAAGGCAAAACGAAAGCUCAACUGUCUCUUUAAUCUAAUCAGU